This 253-nucleotide ribosomal RNA is filed under the name uncultured bacterium. Its description in RNAcentral is "partial 16S ribosomal RNA". It matches the Rfam family "Bacterial small subunit ribosomal RNA", at positions 524 to 776 of the family's 1533-position model. The record is from RNAcentral.
UACGGAGGGUGCGAGCGUUGUCCGGAAUCACUGGGCGUAAAGGGCGCGUAGGCGGCGCGGGAAGUCCGUGGUGAAAGCCCGAGGCUCAACUUCGGGUCGGCCAUGGAUACUCCUGGGCUUGAGCACUGUAGAGGCAGGUGGAAUUCCGGGUGUAGCGGUGGAAUGCGUAGAGAUCCGGAAGAACACCGGUGGCGAAGGCGGCCUGCUGGGCAGUAGCUGACGCUGAGGCGCGAAAGCGUGGGGAGCAAACAGG